GAUGAACGCUGACAGAAUGCUUAACACAUGCAAGUCAACUUGAACUUCGGUUUGGGUGGCGGACGGGUGAGUAACGCGUACAGAACUUGCCUCACAGCUAGGGACAACAUUUGGAAACGAAUGCUAAUACCUGAUAUUAUGAUUUUAGGGCAUCCUAGAAUUAUGAAAGCUAUAUGCGCUGUGAGAGAGCUUUGCGUCCCAUUAGCUAGUUGGAGAGGUAACGGCUCACCAAGGCGAUGAUGGGUAGCCGGCCUGAGAGGGUGAACGGCCACAAGGGGACUGAGACACGGCCCUUACUCCUACGGGAGGCAGCAGUGGGGAAUAUUGGACAAUGGACCAAGAGUCUGAUCAAGCAAUUCUGUGUGCACGAUGAAGUUUUUCGGAAUGUAAAGUGCUUUCAGUUGGGAAGAAAAAAAUGACGGUACCAACAGAAGAAGUGACGGCUAAAUACGUG
This 454-nucleotide ribosomal RNA is filed under the name uncultured bacterium. RNAcentral's name for it is "partial 16S ribosomal RNA". It matches the Rfam family "Bacterial small subunit ribosomal RNA", at positions 28 to 507 of the family's 1533-position model. The record is from RNAcentral.